RNAcentral lists this ribosomal RNA (532 nucleotides) under uncultured haloarchaeon. Its description in RNAcentral is "bacterial SSU rRNA". It matches the Rfam family "Archaeal small subunit ribosomal RNA", at positions 1 to 532 of the family's 1478-position model. Lineage: Archaea; Methanobacteriati; Methanobacteriota; Halobacteria; Halobacteriales; Halobacteriaceae. The record is from RNAcentral.
GUAGAAUCGGUGAUCCUGCCGGAGGACGUUGCUUGUGGAAUUCCAGUCAGCCAUGCUGGACGAGCGAGCUCAGACGCGCCGCGAAAAACUACAGCAACGCGAGGCCGAGCUCCCGCUUCAGACAGGGAUACCGUCGAGAAACUGAGGGUAACAGCGGAAACAAAACGCCAGCUGGAAUGCGGCGUUUCACAAAGACAUCGCUGAAGGACGCGGCUGCGGCCGAUUAGGUAGACGGUGGGGUAACGGCCCACCGUGCCAGUAAUCGGUACGGGUGAUGAGAGUCAGAGCCCGGAGACGGAAUCUGAGACAAGAUUCCGGGCCCUACGGGGCGCAGCAGGCGCGAAACCUUUACACUGCACGGAAGUGCGAUAGGGGAAUCCCAAGUGCGAGGGCAUAUUAGCCCUCGCUUUUCUCGACUGUAAGGUGGUCGACGAAUAAGAGCUGGGCAAGACCGGUGCCAGCCGCCGCGGUAAUACCGGCAGCUCAAGUGAUGUCCCAUAUUAUUGGGCCUAAAGCGUCCGUAGCUAAGGGC